This is an RNA transcript of Spinacia oleracea (spinach), 2086 nucleotides long. RefSeq lists it as uncharacterized. The transcript is spliced from 5 exons. Lineage: Eukaryota; Viridiplantae; Streptophyta; Magnoliopsida; Caryophyllales; Amaranthaceae. The record is from RefSeq and is a predicted model, not a curated record.
AGACUGACUCAAGAACGUGGAAAACAAAACAUGUUUCUUUUAAAAUAUUUUUCCUCUUAAACCAGACAUACUGGAAAGACUGCUAGAGUCAGACACUUUAGAAUGAAUGAUGAUGCAUCUUUUUAUAGCACUCAAGAAUGCCUUGGCCACUACUCCAUGAUUCUUUACUUGGGAAACAAGCACAACCACUAACCCACUAACUGUUGAACGUGAUAUAUGAACGUGGAGUAUAAUGUGAUUAUCUUGGGGAACAAGCCAACACUAGAGGACACUAGAGGAAAAAUUGCCAUGUGCUUCCCUUCAAGUGCGGCUCAUUUGAUAAAUUAGCAGCACUUGAGAGCGCACACACACACACAAAAAAAUUAUUUUCACAAGUGCGGGCUCAUUUUCGAAAAUUGGCAGUACUUGAGUUCAAGUGCGGGCUAUUUUACGAAAGACCCGCACAAAAUAUAUCAAAAAACUUUCAUUUCCCCUUCUCUCUCCUUCCUCUCCUCUGGUUCAACCUAACUCCAUUUUCCCAGUUCUCUCUCUUCCCCUCUCUGGUUUCUCUCCUUCACCUCUCUGGUUCUUCUUUGGGCGCAAAAUUCGGACACGAAGGCGCCGCCGCCGCCACAAUCGUCGUCCUCUUCGUCGGCGGCACCUGCGCCAAUGCAAAUGGCGGCGUCUACGACGAUGCCACCGCCCUCAUCGUUAGGGAAACCAGUUACUGACUGGAAAUCGAAGAGGACUACGCUUAUGCAGAUUCAAAAUGAGACCAUUUCUGCUGCUAAGGCUGUUCGUGCUAAUAUUUUGCCUCAAAAGCAGAAGAAAAGGGUACUAAGUCUCAUGCUGGUCUACAGAGCUGAUGCAGUGUUGCAGCGGCUAGUGUGCAUGAACCAUUGUAACAUACCUAUUAAUAAAAUUCUAUGUGUAAAUUGUUCUUAAAUAGUCUGCAUAUAUAGAACUUAAACCUUUGAUCAACUCCGAAGUGUUAAAAGCUGCGUUUUAACUCGAUCAAUAACUAGUGUUUUUAUAUUAUAAUUAUUUCAUGAUUGGAGGAAUUCUAGAAACAUGAACUUGCUAGAUAGGAAUUUCUUUCAUAUGAUCAAACAAGCCUCAAAAGUGCAUACUUUGGCCAAAAUAGGUGAGUAUGAGUCUUAGAAAAAUAAAUCUAAGUAUAUUAAACAUCUAACGGGUUUAAAAUACUUAUUUAAGUUCAUUAAUUGAAAGUUGUAACCGAAAAAAGUUAUUUUAGUCAAAACGUGAAACACUACAGUUGUAUAGAGGAAAUCUCAUUAUUUUUGGGGUAAUAAGGAAAACUUGUAUUGCGAGUGUGAAACACUACAGUUGUAGAGAAGUCUAUAUUAGUUUGUCAUGUAUUUCUUCUGUUUUCAGAGUUCACAUAGUGUAGAUUGUUACUUAAAUUUGUCAGUUUAUAAUAGUCUAAAGAAUUAAAGGAAUUAAGACUUGAAGUGUUCCGUUUAUGAUCUAGUGUUGGCUUUUUGAUGCUUAUUUGACCUUUUCUGCGUUUGGGAAUGGAUUGAGGCUAAUGGUGGUAGUUCACUCCUUGAAGACUUGUACAAGGCCUUGGAUAGAGUGGUCAAACUCUCUGAAUGUGAAAUUUACAAUUACAAUGCUGACUCCGAUGCAGACCCCUUUUUACAAAGAGGAGCAAUAUGGUCAUUCAAUUUUUUCUCCAAAGUGCCACCCAUUUGGAAUCUUCGGCCAUUAAGUGCCACCCAUUUGCAAUCUUCUGCUAUGUAUGGGUGGCAAGGUGGGAUAGGAAAUGAAGUACAAUCUAUCACCUUACCUAGGUGGGAUAGGAAAGUGGCCACUGCAAGUUCUUGGGCUCAACUCUAUGAUGGCUGAAGGAGCUGGUAUACAAUAAUCCGAGGGAGCGGCCUUUCACCUUUGAGGAGAUAGAUGAAGUUCGAGAAAUGUUGGCAAAUUUCAUUACCAGUGAUUGUCUUUGAUAUUUUCUUGUACUGAAUCUUAAAUUACGGAUGCUAGCUAGUUUUUCAUAUGAUUGUAAUGUAAUCGACUUUUAUAUUUACAAUUAUAUACCAUUUAAUUUAAUUAUCUAUAUAAUUGGAUACUAUUUAUAUGA